Populus trichocarpa (black cottonwood) is the source of this 2661-nucleotide long non-coding RNA. RefSeq lists it as uncharacterized. The transcript has 3 exons. NCBI's taxonomy places the organism in Eukaryota, Viridiplantae, Streptophyta, Magnoliopsida, Malpighiales, Salicaceae. The record is from RefSeq and is a predicted model, not a curated record.
UAUAUAAUAUAUUUAUUUGCAGACUCCCGGCUUCGAAGUCAAAAAAUCAAAACCAGCGGUUCUGCGCGCGGCUACUGCGGCAUCCUCGCAGCGAUUUAGCUUUAACUUCCAGCGGGAUCUUUCACCUUCCUUGCUGCCAUUGAUGCUGUUCUGAUUGAUCACUGCGUUCGUCACUUAGCUUCCCUGUGUUACUACGUGGAGUGAUUUUGAGAACAAAUCUCCCUGAUAAUUGGCGAGGAUCCGAACCAUGGAUGUGGAAUUUUGAAGCUUGGGGCUCUUGCAUCAUUUUUGGAAAGAAUACGAAUUAAAAAAGGUGAUAAAUAUUUCAUUUUUGCUUGCAUGCAUGAUACUUUAGAAUUGCAAGAUGAUAGAGAGGGUUUGAAUCUGCGACGAGCUACGUGGAGUAUUCGUUUCUUGUACCAUUUUUGGGACAACCAUCUAGAUCAAUCAUAUAUUAAGAUUUUACUUCUGCUCAUUUGCGCAACAUUGUGUACUUGUUUUGGAGAGUUAUCUAUCAAAGUCAGAGACUGCAAGAGGAAUGUGUUUGGAGAUAUAUAGUUAGUUACAUUUCUUGAGUCUUUUUCUUUUUGUUGGAUCCAAUGGUUGGAUUCCAAACAGAAAGUAAAUUUCCAAUCUCUUGAUACCUCUCAUCUUUAUUUGAGUGACUUUAGUUGGCGCCUUCUAGGAAUGGUUGAGAAUUUAAGACAUCCUUAUUAGCGCCCUCAAUAAUUGGCAUGUGAUAUUAUCACUCUGGCCAUGAUGUCGCAUUAAUGUGUGCCAAGAAUGAUUUGCGUUUUGUAUUCUGCAUGAUGUUCCUUAAAACCUUAUUGCAUCUCCUUGUUUUUAGAUGAUGGGCUUACCGCUAUAACAGUCUUGAUUAUAGUAGUGUUAUUUGCAAGUGGAUCUUUUGAGAACAUAAAUAUUGAACCCGCCAAAAUCACUGACAAGAGCUUCAUGGUGUUGAAUUCAUAGUUUUGAGUUUGAUAAUUUGGUUAAAAGCAGGUCGUCAUAGAGAUAGAUAUUUGAACUAACUUUGUGCACUUUAAUUUCUAUUUUACCAGUAUAUUUUUUUUUUAUUUCCAACUGGGGAACUGUAUUUGAUGUUCCUUGUAUGGUUGCUUUGGAAAACAUUACUUUUAAAAGCUUUUUUUUUAGCAACACUACCCUGGAAUAAUGUUUGGUACCUGGUUGGUGGAAUGCAAUUUGUUGAUUCAGUUUUUUCUUUGAUUUUGUACUUUUAUUACUGUUGAUAAGAAUAUAUUAAUAAAUGGACUGUUUAUAAUUUCCACAAACGUCUAAAGUGGAUGCUUUUGCCAAAUUUUCUGUGACUGUGUUCUACAUUUGAUUGCUUUGACUUGGAAAUUCCUAUUUUAUAUCAGAUCUGUAAUAAAUACGUUGCUUCUGUUUCCAAGUCCUCUUUUUCGAUAAGUUGAAACUGUGUUCAAGUUUGGGGAGGAUUGAAGCCACAACCAAUGGUAUAGAUUCUGCUGGCCCAUGAACAGGCAUCAUCAUCUUUUCUUGAAACUUAAGCAGCAAAUCUUCUAAGAUGGUCAUAUGACUGCCUGCCAAAAUCAGAAACUCUCUGUAUCAGUCUUCUAGAGCAUGAAAUGAUAGAUUGCCCAUUAUAUUAAUAGUUAAUUGUCAGAGCAACAGGACUGCAUCGAUACUAAUCAUGCAUGCCAGUUGAGAUCAGACUCAUAUGUCUAGUCACUGUGUGCUAACCUAUCCUUCAACUGCGCAAUUUACAUGUUGCUUCUAAAGGUCUUUCACGGGCUCUAUGCAGAAAGUGCUUUAGCAAUAACAUGACCAUUAGUUGCAUUGCAUGUUUGCAUGGAUAUAUUGCGUAGGCAUUCCUUGUGUAUCGUUUCCAGUGUUCUUUUGGAAGUUAAAAUAAAAAUUAAUGCAACAAAGUAUGUAGUGAAAGGGAAAGGUGGCACUAACAUGGUAAAAAAGGCAGGCAGAGUGAUUUGUUUACAUGCUAGUGUAAUGUGAGCCAUGAACUGGACUUGUCUUUCUUAACAAAGUCUUCAUUAAAUAUGCAUCAUGGGAAAAAAUCAAGGGGCCAACUUUUGGCUUCACUAAAGGCCAAAGGGACAUGACGUCUUCUAAGUUAAAGAUUCUCCAUUACUUGAUAUAAAAUCAAACAAAUUUUGAUGGAUUCUGAUGCAAAUUUCAGUAUCUCUUUCUCUAUCUCCAAGUCAAAAUGGGCCUAGGCGCUAAAAUAAAAUCAAAGAAACGCAGAUGGGUUCUGGAGCAAAAUUAAUGCGCUGUCUCUCUCUCUCUGUCGCACACAACUAUUAUUAGUCACAGAUAAAGAAUCUUUGUACUAGGAAAGGCUUGAAAAGUAUGCUCGUUUGGAGCUACCAAAGGUUACUAAACUGAAUAGGAGCUUAAACUUCUAUUAAAGUUCUGGGAAGCGACAUGGUAGCACGAAUAUUUGCACAGAUGAGAUAUUCGUACACACUCUCUUUUCAAUUCAUAGCAAUCUUCAGUUUUGUUCUAUUUUAUUUUAUUUCAAUUCUAUUAUUUUGGAGAUUGGUGAUACAUUGAAUAUGGCCGUAGUUUUUAGAAAACCACACCAUAUUGGUUCAAAUUUUUGACCUAGAACAGCUCCUCAAUUGUUCAUUAUCGAUUAUUUAUGUUAUCAUCAUUUCUUUCUUU